AAUUACUAAAUGUUUAUGUAAUAAAACAAAGAAUAUAAAACAAAACUGAAACUAAAAUAGAGGCAUGUGUUCAGACAGUGAUCUGUCUCAGCUGUGGGACAUGGGCUCAGUCACACCUCUGUUUAAUUAGACCAUCACAGAGGAAAUACCCAGAGGUACACACACACACACACACACACACACACUUAUAUUCAUUACUCCAAUGCUUUAUAUAUUUAGAAAUGUGCUGGUCAGAUUCUGUGAUUUUUUUUUCUCCUGCUUUUCUGUAGGUAAUAUAACAUUUCCAUUGCUGCCCUUUGGUGAGUGAGUUCAGAGAGCAUAUUAUUGUUAUUAACAGUGUCUGCUGUCAGCUAUGAUACAACAUGCAUUGUGUGUGAAUCAAAACUGACCAAUCAGAGCACUGUCUUACCUCUACAGUAAUGUGGCAUGACCUACCAAACACUAGUGACCUGGUACCAUGGCCUUAAGCCAUUACCAACUCCUACAGCACUCCCAGUGCAGAUUCCCACAGGAGCAGAGUACCAACCUCUACAAUGACAUCAUCACCUCUUAUUAGAUCAACAGCAGCUCCUGAAACUACUGUCCCUGUGACGACCACCGCCACUGUUUCUGUGACAACCACACUCAUUAGUGAUCUCACAACUGCUGUGAACACCCAGGCAAAAGCUGUAACGGUAACCACACACACCAUCGCUCCCAUGGUGAAGGUGACAAUUUCACUGCCAACGACAAGCAUCCAGCAGCUCACUAAAGUGUCUCAUUCAGAAAAACCAGAGGACGCAGCAUAUGCGAGAGAGAGUGCGCUAUGAAUCAUAGACAUCUGAGCUGCUUACCUACUGUCCAUGUCAACAGCUCUCAAUACAGGUGCCAUCAUUCAGAGCAGAAGACACAGAGAGCAUGCGAGUCCUCAAUGACCCCUUAAGUGAACAUUUAUUCCAGCAAAUUAAAAUAGAGAUGGCCACUAGAUGGCACAAGAAACUUAUGAAAAAAGCUUGUACCGAGGCUUUGUGUCAGCCCAGAUCCAGCCCGCAUGGAUUUCACGUGGGUCAGAUAUGGACCAGAUC
Molecule: long non-coding RNA, 1064 nt
Organism: Cyprinus carpio carpio
Lineage: Eukaryota; Metazoa; Chordata; Actinopteri; Cypriniformes; Cyprinidae
Source: Ensembl